This is a non-coding RNA of Doryrhamphus excisus (bluestripe pipefish), 770 nucleotides long. The record is from RefSeq and is a predicted model, not a curated record. NCBI's taxonomy places the organism in Eukaryota, Metazoa, Chordata, Actinopteri, Syngnathiformes, Syngnathidae.
GUCUUGGCGUUGCCAAAGGCCUCGAGCAGUGGGUUGGACUGCAGGAUGAUGUCUUUGACGUGCUGUGAGGACAAACAGAGAGACAUGCACGAUCACUGUGAUUGGCUGGCGACCAGUCCAGGGUGUGCCCCGCCUCUUGCCCGAGGACAGCUGGGAUAGGCUCCAGCAACCCCGCGACCCUCGUUAUAAAGUCAUUUCUAAAGCUUUGGGACUCCAGCAAACCACAGUGAGAGCCAUUAUCCACAAAUGGCAAAAACAUGGAACAGUGGUGAACCAUCCCAAGAGUGGCCGGCCAACCAAUAUUAUUCCAAGACCGCUGCGACGACUCAACCAAGAGGUCACAAAAGACCCCACAACAACAUCCAAGGAACUGCAGGCCUCACAUGCUUCAGUUAAGGCGCCAUUUAUCAUGAGAGCUGAUUCGAAACAUCUCAAACAAAAUCAGUGUUUUCAAUGGAAGAAAACUACGACUAAAAUAUAGUCUUAUGAACCACGAUUGUGGUUCAGGGUGGAACUCUGUGGAAAUCCAAGACAGGAACACGUCACACCAAGUACAGUAUAUUUUCUUUUUACAGCAGCCUCUGUAGUGGUUGAACGUAAAUAAACCAUCUGCAGUGAAAAUGGAUACAUAGUCAUUCUAUGUGUGUCACCAGGACGUCCCACUCAAGUUUCAAUCAGUGACACUGAAAAGCAAACAGGUAGGCAGCAGGCAUUGGUACCACAUGCAUGCAAAGAAUUACAUCGUCUAAAACAAAUGCCAAAAAAUAUAU